This 4034-nucleotide long non-coding RNA is filed under the name Nicotiana benthamiana. RNAcentral's name for it is "long non-coding RNA (NBEN_LNC009995)". Lineage: Eukaryota; Viridiplantae; Streptophyta; Magnoliopsida; Solanales; Solanaceae. The record is from RNAcentral.
AUUAAUAAUGUGAUAUAGGUAAAAUACGAAAAUAAAAAACACACCCAUAUGAUCUGGGGGUCACGAGUCUAGAGCCUCUAAACAAAAGUGAGUAAUAAUAAUAGUAACUGAAUACUAAAACCAAAAUCUGGGAAAGUAUAUAAAAAUAAUAAUAAAGUGAAGACAUAAUGAAGAGCAGCCAGGUCCUGCGAACGUCAUGCAGAUACCUCAACGACUCUGAAAUAUCUCUGAAGACUACGAGAAUCAGCUAAGCCUCCAGUGUACCUGAAUCUGCACAUAAGCUGCAGAGAGUAGGGGUGAGUACUACCGGCUAAGUGAAUAAUAAGUAUAGAAAAUAACUGAAAGUAAGAAAUCCACGAAAGACCAUAACUCAAAGCUAUAAUUAACAAUCCAAUAACUUAGCUACAAGAUAACAGCAUAAUAGUAGCAUAACAACAAACAAAUCUCAGAUAAAGAUGCAAUGCAAUGCACAUGAAUAUGCUGCGGUGUGCAGCCCGAUCCGUUUAACAUCGACGCCGCUCACUGGGGGUGUGUAUAGACUUCGGAUGGACUCCUUCAGCCAAGCGCAAUAUUAUCAUAUCACCGCUGCGGCGUGCAGCCCGAACCAUGCUCAGUCCACAAUAUGCAUAUGAGUCAGAUAAACAGAUUCAAUCUAAUUUCCCAUUUUUCCGAUUAUUAAGGUAAAUAUAAUUUAAUUAUUNNNNNNNNNNNNNNNNNNNNNNNNNNNNNNNNNNNNNNNNNNNNNNNNNNNNNNNNNNNNNNNNNNNNNNNNNNNNNNNNNNNNNNNNNNNNNNNNNNNNNNNNNNNNNNNNNNNNNNNNNNNNNNNNNNNNNNNNNNNNNNNNNNNNNNNNNNNNNNNNNNNNNNAGGAAAAGUGACUUAGCAUUUCAUUUCGGUGAUUAAACACAUGACUGAGAUCAAUGAUUAUGCAAUCAUGUUAUCACACAGAUAUUCACCCCAGACGGGUACUACGGAUCGGCACAAGGCCCCAAACAUGGCGUUUAUCAACAACACAAUGUGCGUAUCAAACGCCAAUAAUUUAUUCAGCUCUCGGGAUAGACCAAGUCACAAUCCCCAAUCAUCUACAACCCCGCAUCUGCCAUGGGGUGCGAGUCACGCCCUAAAAUAGCAUCACAAUGUGAUAAACCGGGGUUACAAACCCUCAGGCCAUCAUCUAUACAAACUACUCACCUCUAACCGGUCGUAGCCAGGUCUGCAAUGCCUUUUCCCUUUGAAUCUUCUCCUACAAGCGUCGAAUCUAUUCAAAACCACAAAGAAUAGGUUAUUAUAGGCUAAAUAACCAUAACCCAAUUGAAAUUAUUAGAAAAACGUUAAAAAUUACAAAGUUGGUAAAACCCGAGCCCCGGGCUCACUUCUCGAAAAAUUCAGAAAGUACAUAUUUGGAUUCCUCGCCUCGCCACAAGUCUGCACAUAUAAAGUUUUACCAAAAACGGAGUCUGUUUGACCCUUCAAAUUCCCAAAAUUCAUUUCUAAAAAUUAAGACCUAGUUCUUCACAAUUUUGAACCCACUUUCAUGAAUUUGGGUGUUGAUUCUUCAAUAAAAUGGUAUUUUUAUGUUAAGAGACUCACCUCCAAUCAAUACCUGCUGAAAACACGCUUCAAAUCGCUCAAAAAGCUCCUUGGGUUCCUUAACGAUGGAGGGAAAUAUGUUUAAGCCGUGGGUGAAAUAACCCUUAGAACAUUCUGUCCGCCCAGUGAUUUACUCUAUGCGAUCGCGACCCAAGGCACGCGAUUGCGGAGAACAAAUUCCAGAACCUGAAUUUUUCUCUUACGCGAUCGCAGGUGAGACCACGGGAUCGCAGAACACUGCCCAAUAACCCUACACGAUCGCAUUAACCAACCACUCUAGCCUAAGCGAUCGCAGAGCAAGCUACGCGAUCGCAAAGACCAAUUUAGCACCCCCCCUUCGAUCCUUCUAUACAAUCGUUGCCCCUGGCUCGCGAUCGCAGAGAGCAAUUUCUGCUCUGCAAUUUCUGCUACACGUUUUCACUUCAAAAAUUCCCGUUAGCCAUCCGGAAUCACCCCGAGGCCCUCGGGACCUCAACCAAAAGCACAAAUAUGCUCUAUUACUUCAUUAAAACUCGCUCGUAAUAUAAAAACACUAUCAUAAACAUCAGCAUCCUCAAAUUACCAUGGAUUCAAGCCUAAGUUAAACCAAAACUUCUGAAACUCACAUUUGCUCCAAAACCUGACCUAAACACCUCCGAAUGAUAUGAAAAUUUGCACGCAUAUCAAAAUUACCUAACGAAGCUACUACAACUAUCGGAAUUUCAUUUCAACUCCCGGAUCAAAAUAUCACCUAUUAACCGAACUUCGCCAAAUUUCUAACUUAACCAAUUCAAGCCUAAUUCUACACCGGACCUCCAAAUUCAGUUCUGAUUUCGCUCCUAAGUCAAAAAUCACCAUACGAAACUAGUCGAAUCAUCGGAAUUCCAUUCCGAGCCCUCUAACUUAUCAUAAAUGUUCGGUUGACUUUUCCAAACGAACUUUCAAUUAAAGAGACUAAUUGUCUCAUUUCUAUCAAAAACUCCAUCCGAAUUACUUCUAACUCUCCAAAUACAUAUCUUGAAGCAUAUAACCGCAUAAAACAGGAAAAAUGGGGCGAUAAUUCACGGGACGACGGGUCAGGUCGUUACAACUAGAUGACUCACUCAUAAACUACUACACCAAAUAACUUCGAGAAUUCUAAGAAAACUGUUGUUCUUUCAAUUACAUUUGAAGAAAGUUUGCAGCGAGGAAAAAUUCACAACUUAACCUAAACUUCUCAAGACAUAAGGUCAAUUAAGUGAUAAUUUUAGUGUCGAAAGUGAAGCGAGCAUGCCAAAAAAUGUAACCUAAAUAGAAAUAGCCAUGACUCAGUUAAGCAAAACCCUAUGACACCAAUAGUAGCUUCUGAUGGCGUUUAAAUAGAACUUGAAGCAUUGUGAUGAAUGAUUCACGUUACAACAUUAGAACCUACUAAACAUGACCUUUGCGAAUAUGAAAAUCAAAUUAUGUUGCCUGUGAAUGAAGCUAAGUGUCGACCCAGGAGUUUAAGAGCGAACCAAUCACACAAGUAAGACUAGCAUUGAGUCAUGACCAUAGAGGAAACAGAGCCAUUAAUCCUAAUUUAGAAUCACUGACUUUUCAAACUACCAAAACAUGGACAAGGUCAUGCUCUAACAUCAAGAAAAGCACAUAGCGGGAUAUGUUGACAGCAACACAACCAUCUAAACCUUGAUCAAAGAAUACCAAACCAAACAGAAUAACACUCGAUUACCAUUCACAAACAGAUGAACCAAUUCGACAAAGAUGAAUAGCCACUAGAGAGAGCUUCGAAUCAGUUUCAAUCUAGACUUAGCAAUCAACUGAGGUAAAUUUGCCACAACCAACUAAGGUAAGAUGACUCGGUCAUCUUAAACUAAACAAAUCUGAACUUGGAAGAUACUUCAACAUGUAAAAGAAUCUAAGAACAUCCAAAGCAUAGAAGGUAAAUCACUCAAACUAGAUUAACUUAGUACUUGGAUCCACAUAAGAGCAGUAAAGGAUGAGGUAUGAACCUGAAAACUGGAAUUUUCAUUAUCCUUUGAUGUUCGGAUAUGAUACAAGAAAAAAUUGGACGAUGAACUUAAUAGGGGCUGAAUGAAACAGUAACGAUCCAAUCCGGAACCACGAGCUCGAACCACAAACGACAGUCAGAAAAUCAAACAAACACCACCAGAAAAUCAGUUGCACUCCAUGCUUAGACCAGAAAUAGAAUCUCAGAGAAGGAAGUGAACUGAUUUUUUUGUGUUUUUCCUUUAAUAAUUUUUUGACUUCUAGAAAUAAAACAAAAAUCAGAACGGACUCCUUUUAAAUGGUCCUUCUUUUUGGAAUUUCAUUCGUAGCCUGGAGCUCCUCUCUAUCUAUUUUUUUUUUACGUUUCUAGUUUAGUAUUUGAAACUGUAUAGUUAUAUUUGAGGAUUUAGUAUCAUAGAUUCUCCUGACUUGUGAUACUCCGGUUAGGGCUGUGUUGGGAUAGAUUUUUACUUUGUU